AGUCAGACCAGAAACAAGUAAAUAGGUAAGUGAUUGAACUGAAAACCAAAACCAAAAUCAAAAAAGAAACCUAGUUUGCUCUAAUGUAAAAUACUGCAGAGGCUGGGUGCAGUGGCUCACACCUGUAAUGUGAGCCAACACAGUGAAACCUUAUCUCUACUAAAAAUACAAAAAAUUAGCUGGGUGUGAUGGCACAGACCUAUAAUCCCAGCUACUCAGGAGGCUGAGGCAGGAGCAUCGCUUGAACCUGGGAGGCGGAGGUUGCAGUGAGCUGAGAUCGUGUCACUGCACUCCAGCCUGGGUGACAGAGUGCGACUCCAUCUCAAAAAAAAAAAAAAUUGUAGAGAUGACUGACCAAUAAGGGACAUCCUUUCUGGAGAAUGACACUGAAUUUGGAUGAGAAGCAACUGAACAUUCUAAGAGCCUCUGCUCUCAGAAUUUGAGGAGGAGCAGAGAGUGUGGAGGUAGUUGAUGUUCCAGGCAGAGGAAACAGCAUGCGAAAGCACAAGACAGAAAAUAUUUUGGCUUGUUGGGGAACCGAAUAGAAGAACUUUAGCCCACUUUUUAAGGCUUGGUUUUGAAUAAAAAUGAGAUAUCUGAGUGGAGAUCUGGAAUAGGAAGAAAUUAACAGCCUAAAAGGGAGUAAAGUGUUACUGGUAAUAUUCAUUCUUUUGAUAAAUAUGCAUUCAGUCAGUCAUUAUUCUGACCACUGUAGGGAUAGGAGUCAGGAGCUUACAUUUUUGAAGGGGAAGAUAAAUCAGAAAAUAAGUAACUCAAUACAUCAUUUACUUUCAGAUCAUAAUAGGUGCUGUGAAGAUGCUACAAUAUCAUGGGAAUGAUGGUGACUAUUUUAAGUAGAAAAGUCAGAGAAGACACUCAAAGAGCAAGAGCAUGUGCGAAGGUCUUGAGAUCUGCAUUGUGUGCAGCUGUUUCAGGCUGGCGAUGUUCUCAGGGUUCCCUAUCUUGCAUCACUCAAGCAUACCUCACCCCAUUGUAUCCAAAGGGACCCACCAUAUCCGGGAAGCCAAGGUUUUCUCUGGUCCACACUGUACCUCUUCUCUCUCCUCGAUUCUUGCUGCUGCUUUUUUUUUUUUUCCCUGUGGACCUAUACAACUUAUCUUCCCACCCAGCUACACAGCCAGCAGCACUUUCUCCUUCUUAAGAUUUUUCCCUCUGAGAAAUUUACUAAAGUCACCAAGAUAUUUUUGGAGGGAGAAAAUGCUGUCAAAGAUCAUUG
RNAcentral lists this long non-coding RNA (1237 nucleotides) under Callithrix jacchus (white-tufted-ear marmoset). RNAcentral's name for it is "lncRNA (ENSCJAG00000070128.1)". Lineage: Eukaryota; Metazoa; Chordata; Mammalia; Primates; Cebidae. The record is from RNAcentral.